RNAcentral lists this long non-coding RNA (3001 nucleotides) under Homo sapiens (human). Its description in RNAcentral is "non-protein coding lnc-MSR1-7:1". The record is from RNAcentral. Lineage: Eukaryota; Metazoa; Chordata; Mammalia; Primates; Hominidae.
CCUCAUUCUCUAGACUCAGCAAGGCCUGAAGGGAUUGUCUCAGGCUCCUCCACUCCAGCCUUCUAAGGGCCCAAAGUGGUUCAGAGGGGACGCUCUCAGCGUUCCUUCUCUUCCAACAGCUGUGACAACCUCUGACUCAUGCCUGGGACAAUUUCUCUCAGUUCUGGUGUACCUCCAGUCCUCUGUGUGAGCACUUGAUGAAGAACCCUGAGAAAGAGUGGACAGCUAAAGGAAAGACCUGGGUGUGAUUAAGUAUGAUACAGUGACAUAUUUGAGAUGAUGACGGUGUUACAAGAACUGAAAAAGCAAAACUCUGAGAACAAGUAAGAUGCAGGGACAGCAGCCUCGACCGAAGAAACUGGAUGAGGAAAGGUAUGAAAGUAUGGGAACAUAUUCAGUGCUGUGUUCAGCAUGGCUAAACCGGGAGUUAGCACAUUUUCUGUAAAGAGCCAGAAGGUUAAGUAUUUUAAACUUUGUGGGCCAUGGGUCUUUGCUGAAACCACUCAGCUGAACUGUCGUAGUGCAAAAGCAGCCAACACAUAAAACAAACCUGGCUGCGUUUCAAUGAAACUUUAUUCAUAGGCACUGAUAUCUGAAUUUCAUAAUUUUCAUGUCACAAAAUAUUCUUUGUUGACGUCCCACCCCCCAAUGAUUUAGAACUGUAGAAGCCAUUCUUAGUUUGUAGGAUAAACUAACACAGACAGCAGUUACUUAGUCUUGUAUUAAACCACAGGGUGUACUGAAAGAUACACCAUAAAAAGCUGGAUGGCAUAAAACUUAAAAUAGUUGUGGCAAUUCAUACAUUGAUAUUACUACAUAGGUGUAAAAUCAUAUAUAUUGUAGAAUGUAGUUAACUGCAUAGGAAUAUGCUCAUGAUGUAUAAAAGAAAAAUAAGCAGCUUACAAAAUAUGUAUUACAUAAUUCCCAAGGUUCAAAAUAUGUACAGGCUAAACUGAUGACAUUUGAUGACCUGGGUGUUGGGAUUUAUGAAUAUAUUUUCUUCAUUUUGCUUACCUGUAUCUUCUAGAAGGAACAUGUAUUAACUUUGCCUUCCUCUUUGUUAUUAGCUAUUAAUGAAUUUUAAUGAAGAAGCAACAUGAUCAGCGCAUAUCUUAAAAUAAUUCUGACACUACCCUACAAUAAGUGAUGUAUUAUGGGGGAUAAUGACUAGAUACCGGGAGACAAUUUAAGAGGCUCGGUUAUAGUCAGAAAAAGACACAAGGUACUCAAGACAGCAACUGUGGGAACAGAAAAGUAAUGUAGGCCAAAUAACAUAAAGAAGGAUGAGGAUGAGGACAAAAUGACUUCAAGAUUUCCAUCUUGUGUGACUGUGACAAUGACAGUGUCGGGGAAAAGGGGUGGAGAAAGAGAUUUGGAGGCAGAUGAUAAUGAUUUUUUAACGUAGUGAGGUGAACUGUUAAUGUGGUAUUCAGGUCUGGUUCUGGAUGUCAUGAGAAAGGUCAGGACUUGAUAAUGUAUAUUCAGGACUGAGAAAUAAUCUAAGAGAAAAAAGGAAGGUGUAAGAAUGCCAUGUUACAAAAUCCAGGGUAUGAAGUUUCCAAGAGGGGCUUGUCAACUAAAAUGCUAGAAAGGUCACAUGAAGAGAACUUUGGAUUUGGUCACUGGUGGUUACUGGAGACCGAGGGUAUAUCAAAAGCUUGUUUGUUCCUUUUCCCUUCCUGUGAAAUAUCUGAACAGGUAGCAAAUAAUGGCUUGCUGUUUGUUUUGUUUUUUUUAUUUAUCUUGAAUUAAUGACUCCAUCUGUUUCUCAUAUUUGGAAAACCCAGAAUGUACACAGUGUUCUGGAACAAAUGUAUUCUGUCCAAGUGGAAGCCGGUUAAGUUCCGAUAUCCUCAGCUCGACAGAACAUAUUUGUGCACUGCUCUUCCUGUUCUUAAACUGGAGAGGAAGUCAGGAAGACCCAGUGGUUACAUAAUGUCACCUGUCUCACAUCACUUAUGUGGGUGGGUAAGGGGCAGCUGCUCAGAUUUCAUUUGGUAUCCAAAAAAGGUGCAAACGGGAAAAAAGGUCUGGGUUGUUCACUAAGCACAGAUAGGCCAGUGGUUGAAUUUUCAUUCCGGCCCAUUGACCUUGUGGGUAGUGUAACUCACUGAGUCAUUCUUUUUAAUCUCUACUCUACAUUCACAUGUGUUCUAUGAGAAUGCUAGCGAGAAGUACAUUGUGGCCCUUAGCUAGAAUUCUUUAGCCAAAAGUCCUGGGGCUCUCUUCUCUGUAAUAGAAGAUUGCUAAACCCAGAAAAGUCUUUGAGUCUAAAACAAGUGGUCUUCUAAAAAGGCCUAAAGAAAUCUAGGCCUUUAUUGAGAGUAGGAAAACAUCUCUGGGAAUGGAAGCUUUUUAGAUCUGUCAUUUCAUGGGGCAACAGCAGUCCAGUCUCCUAGUGCUCAGGCCAAUUUUCUACACAGCCUCCACAGAGAGGCCUAUGUAAAGUGUUAACCACAUUUAACAAUGAGGAAUGACCAGAACAUGGAUAGUCAAUCUGGGGGGAGAAGAACAAUAAAACUAGAAUGCAGGGGCUAAGGGACAGAUGAAGAGCCAGUUCAGAACUCUUUUGGAACACAGGAGCUUCCCAUUCCUUCCCUACGUUCAGUGGGUUGCUGAACGGUAUGGAGCUUCUGCCAGAGUAAGAAGGCUGUAUUACCACAAUGGAAUUAAGUCUCCAGAGCUGCUUUUGAUGUGUUAGCCUAGACCCUGUGUUCUCUGGUCUUGAGGGGGUGGGAUGUGCAGUGUGGAAUCAAAAAACUGGAUUGUGAAUUUUCUGCAAAAAAUUACUGUCAAUUUUACAUACAUAUAAAAUUAUAUUUUUAUGUAAAAUUAUAUAUAUAUAAAAUUGACAGUAAUUUUAUAUAUAUAUAAAUAAAGUACCUACUAUCUGUUUCUGAAUUUAGCAAAUGUUGAUUUUAAAAAAGUUUUCAGUAAGUUAACUGUUUGGAAGACUUGUAUUUUUUAUUACCCUUGAAUAUUAAGGCUUACAUUAUUUGUU